Molecule: ribosomal RNA, 379 nt
Filed under: uncultured cyanobacterium
Lineage: Bacteria; Bacillati; Cyanobacteriota
Description: bacterial SSU rRNA
Rfam family: Bacterial small subunit ribosomal RNA
Source: RNAcentral
CGAAAGCCUGACGGAGCAAGACCGCGUGAGGGAGGAAGGCUCUUGGGUUGUAAACCUCUUUUCUCAGGGAAGAAGCUCUGACGGUACCUGAGGAAUCAGCCUCGGCUAACUCCGUGCCAGCAGCCGCGGUAAUACGGAGGAAGCAAGCGUUAUCCGGAUUUAUUGGGCGUAAAGCGUUCGCAGGUGGUUUUUCAAGUCUGCUGUUAAAGACAGUGGCUCAACUACUGAAAGGCAGUAGAUACUGAAAGACUAGAGUGCCGUAGGGGUAGAGGGAAUUCCCGGUGUAGCGGUGAAAUGCGUAGAGAUCGGGAAGAACAUCGGUGGCGAAAGCGCUCUACUGGACCGCAACUGACACUGAGGGACGAAAGCUAGGGGAGCG